AACGCUAGCUACAGGCUUAACACAUGCAAGUCGAGGGGCAGCAUGGUCUUAGCUUGCUAAGGCCGAUGGCGACCGGCGCACGGGUGGGUAACACGUAUCCAACCUGCCGUCUACUCUUGGACAGCCUUCUGAAAGGAAGAUUAAUACAAGAUGGCAUCAUGAGUCCGCAUGUUCACAUGAUUAAAGGUAUUCCGGUAGACGAUGGGGAUGCGUUCCAUUAGAUAGUAGGCGGGGUAACGGCCCACCUAGUCUUCGAUGGAUAGGGGUUCUGAGAGGAAGGUCCCCCACAUUGGAACUGAGACACGGUCCAAACUCCUACGGGAGGCAGCAGUGAGGAAUAUUGGUCAAUGGGCGAGAGCCUGAACCAGCCAAGUAGCGUGAAGGAUGACUGCCCUAUGGGUUGUAAACUUCUUUUAUAAAGGAAUAAAGUCGGGUAUGGAUACCCGUUUGCAUGUACUUUAUGAAUAAGGAUCGGCUAACUCCGUGCCAGCAGCCGCGGUAAUACGGAGGAUCCGAGCGUUAUCCGGAUUUAUUGGGUUUAAAGGGAGCGUAGAUGGAUGUUUAAGUCAGUUGUGAAAGUUUGCGGCUCAACCGUAAAAUUGCAGUUGAUACUGGAUAUCUUGAGUGCAGUUGAGGCAGGCGGAAUUCGUGGUGUAGCGGUGAAAUGCUUAGAUAUCACGAAGAACUCCGAUUG
This 694-nucleotide ribosomal RNA is filed under the name uncultured bacterium. Its description in RNAcentral is "bacterial SSU rRNA". It matches the Rfam family "Bacterial small subunit ribosomal RNA", at positions 32 to 715 of the family's 1533-position model. The record is from RNAcentral.